GACGAACGCUGGCGGCGUGCUUAACACAUGCAAGUCGAACGGAAAGGCCCUGCUUUUGUGGGGUGCUCGAGUGGCGAACGGGUGAGUAACACGUGAGUAACCUGCCCUUGACUUUGGGAUAACUUCAGGAAACUGGGGCUAAUACCGGAUAGGAGCUCCUGCUGCAUGGUGGGGUUUGGAAAGUUUCGGCGGUUGGGGAUGGACUCGCGGCUUAUCAGCUUGUUGGUGGGGUAGUGGCUUACCAAGGCUUUGACGGGUAGCCGGCCUGAGAGGGUGACCGGCCACAUUGGGACUGAGAUACGGCCCAGACUCCUACGGGAGGCAGCAGUGGGGAAUAUUGCACAAUGGGCGGAGGCCUGAUGCAGCAACGCCGCGUGCGGGAUGACGGCCUUCGGGUUGUAAACCGCUUUCGCCUGUGACGAAGCGUGAGUGACGGUAAUGGGUAAAGAAGCACCGGCUAACUACGUG
This 468-nucleotide ribosomal RNA is filed under the name uncultured bacterium. RNAcentral's name for it is "partial 16S ribosomal RNA". It matches the Rfam family "Bacterial small subunit ribosomal RNA", at positions 28 to 507 of the family's 1533-position model. The record is from RNAcentral.